AUGAACGCUGGCGGCGUGCCUAAUACAUGCAAGUCGAGCGAACAGACGAGGAGCUUGCUCCUCUGACGUUAGCGGCGGACGGGUGAGUAACACGUGGAUAACCUACCUAUAAGACUGGGAUAACUUCGGGAAACCGGAGCUAAUACCGGAUAAUAUAUUGAACCGCAUGGUUCAAUAGUGAAAGACGGUUUUGCUGUCACUUAUAGAUGGAUCCGCGCCGCAUUAGCUAGUUGGUAAGGUAACGGCUUACCAAGGCAACGAUGCGUAGCCGACCUGAGAGGGUGAUCGGCCACACUGCAACUGAGACACGGUCCAGACUCCUACGGGAGGCAGCAGUAGGGAAUCUUCCGCAAUGGGCGAAAGCCUGACGGAGCAACGCCGCGUGAGUGAUGAAGGUCUUCGGAUCGUAAAACUCUGUUAUUAGGGAAGAACAAAUGUGUAAGUAACUAUGCACGUCUUGACGGUACCUAAUCAGAAAGCCACGGCUAACUACGUG
RNAcentral lists this ribosomal RNA (496 nucleotides) under uncultured bacterium. RNAcentral describes it as "partial 16S ribosomal RNA". It matches the Rfam family "Bacterial small subunit ribosomal RNA", at positions 29 to 507 of the family's 1533-position model. The record is from RNAcentral.